GAUCACUCGAGAGGAGCCGGGAGAGCCAGUUCCCGGGGCGUGGGGUGCGCUGAAACUCCUGUCCUGCCGGACUCCUCGACCCAGCUCUCGGCAGGGCGCGGGCGGGGACGAGAUGUUUCCGUCCCCACGGGGCCGAGGGGGGAGGGCGGGGCGGAGUGGGGAGGACGGAAUGUGCUGGGGCUUGAGCCCAGGGCGGGCGAAGGCAGGCGGCCGGCGCGGCGGGUGGGGGAGGGGUCGCCCCGGAAGCCGGGGCGUCCUGGGGUCCCACCGCCGGGCCUUCCAGGACCGAAAAGUGUUGGGAUACGCAGGUUUUCGGAAUCUUGGGGGAGGCAUCUUGAAAGCCUCAGGAUUCUAGAAUCUCAACACUGUGGAAUCUCAGACUUGGUCUUCGGGAGACCUAACACUAGAACGUUUAAGAAUCGCAGAACUGUAGAUUCUGGGUUUCCGGGCCCCUUGAAUCUCGAAUACCAAAAUCUUGGCCUGUCGGGAUUCGAGAGGCUCGGGAUUGCGGAAUCUCGGCUUCUGAGCGGUGGAAACUCGCGGUCUCUCGCCCCAGGCGGGGUGGGAGUCGGCGAUCGCGAGGCCAGGGAGGGUGGGUUUCGGUCGGGGCGGGGCUCCCGGGAGGGCCGCGUCCUCGGACCAUACAAGGCCAAGAGGCGGCGGGAACCACCCUGGGGCGGAGGAGCCCGGCGCACCGAGCCCGGAAGCUGCCUAGCGUCAGCGCCUGCGCCCCGCCCCUUUCCGCCGCGGCCUCCUCCCGCUUCGACCCCUGUUUCUCUCCUUGCCCCUGCUUUUCCUCUACCCCAUCUUCCCUCUCCUCUCCCCAACUCACCCCUCCUCCUCCCUUUCAGUUCCUCGUCGCCAGACCCUCCUGCGCCACCCUUCCCCUCCCCUACUUCCCCACCCUCUCCAGUUCUUCCCCUCCCCCCAGCACUUCUCGCCCUUUCCUCUUUUUACUUUCCUUUCCUUCUUUCCCCCCAUCCUCCGUCCUCUGUCCCCUGUUCUCUUCACUUCCAGUUCCCUCCCCUUUCUCGCUCCCUUUCCUUUCCACUCUGCUCUCCCUGCCCACACUCUUCUUCCCCUUGGUUCCAUCUUCUCCUCGCCCCAUUUCUGCCCGACCCCAUUCCCUCUUAG
This 1134-nucleotide long non-coding RNA is filed under the name Bos grunniens (domestic yak). Its description in RNAcentral is "lncRNA (ENSBGRG00000024288.1)". Lineage: Eukaryota; Metazoa; Chordata; Mammalia; Artiodactyla; Bovidae. The record is from RNAcentral.